This 486-nucleotide ribosomal RNA is filed under the name uncultured bacterium. RNAcentral describes it as "partial 16S ribosomal RNA". It matches the Rfam family "Bacterial small subunit ribosomal RNA", at positions 46 to 523 of the family's 1533-position model. The record is from RNAcentral.
GCCUAACACAUGCAAGUCGAGCGGCAGCAUGAUUAGUAGCAAUACUAAUUGAUGGCGAGCGGCGGACGGGUGAGGAACACGUAGGAAUCAGUCGUUUAGAGGGGGACAACCAAGGGAAACUUUGGCUAAUACCGCGUAAUCUCGAAAGAGGAAAGCUGCCCGCAAGGGUGGCGCUAAAUGAGGAGCCUGCAUCCGAUUAGCUAGUUGGUAGGGUAAAAGCCUACCAAGGCAAUGAUCGGUAACUGGUCUGAGAGGACGACCAGUCACACUGGGACUGAGACACGGCCUAGACUCCUACGGGAGGCAGCAGUGGGGAAUAUUGGACAAUGGGGGCAACCCUGAUCCAGCGAUGCCGCGUGGGUGAAGAAGGCCUUCGGGUUGUAAAGCCCUUUAGAUCGGGAAGAAGGUUGGCCGACGAAUAAUCGGUUAACUUGACGGUACCGGUAGAAUAAGCACCGGCAAACUCUGUGCCAGCCGCCGCGGUAA